Molecule: ribosomal RNA, 953 nt
Filed under: Sarcophaga vagans
Lineage: Eukaryota; Metazoa; Arthropoda; Insecta; Diptera; Sarcophagidae
Description: eukaryotic LSU rRNA
Rfam family: Eukaryotic large subunit ribosomal RNA
Source: RNAcentral
UUUAUGGCAAAUGUGAGAUGCAGUGUAUGGAAUGUCAAAUUUCUAGUAUGAGAAAUUAACGAUUUAAGUCCUUCUUAAAUGAGGCCAUUUACCCAUAGAGGGUGCCAGGCCCGUAUAACGUUAAUGAUUACUAGAUGGCAUUUCCAAAGAGUCGUGUUGCUUGAUAGUGCAGCACUAAGUGGGUGGUAAACUCCAUCUAAAACUAAAUAUAACCAUGAGACCGAUAGUAAACAAGUACCGUGAGGGAAAGUUGAAAAGAACUCUGAAUAGAGAGUUAAAUAGUACGUGAAACUGCUUAGAGGUUAAGCCCGAUGAACCUGAAUAUCCAUUAUAGAAAAUUCAUCAUUAUGAUUUUAAUAUUAAUAAUAUUAUAAUAAUAGUGUGCAUUUUUUCUAUAACGGACAUUGUAAUCUAUUAACAUAAAUAUAUUUAUCAUAAGAUCAAUGAUGCGUAAGUUUAUUUAAAUUAUUUUGCUUGCAAUUUAACAUAGAAUAAAUGCUCUUGAUUUGAUAAAGUGUUGAUAGAUUUAUUGUAUAUAGUGCUUAAAUAUUUAUAUUUUAUAAUAGCAUAUUAAUCAUUGAUUUUUAUGUUUAUUAUAUGCACUUAUAUGAUUAACAAUGCGAAAGAUUCAGGAUACCUUCGGGACCCGUCUUGAAACACGGACCAAGGAGUCUAACAUAUUUGCAAGUUAUUGGGUAUCAAAACCUAAUAGCGAAAUUAACAUAACUUUAAUGGGAUUAGUUUUUAGAUUAUUUAUAGUCUAUUAAUUCAAUCCCGGGGCGUUCUAUAUAGUUAUGUAUAAUAAUAUUUAUAUUAUUUAUACCUCUAACUAGAGCGUACCUUGAGCAUAUAUGCUGUGACCCGAAAGAUGGUGAACUAUACUUGAUCAGGUUGAAGUCAGGGGAAACCCUGAUGGAAGACCGAAACAGUUCUGACGUGCAAAUCGAUUGUCA